This 2233-nucleotide long non-coding RNA is filed under the name Sus scrofa (pig). RNAcentral describes it as "lncRNA (ENSSSCG00030067294.1)". The record is from RNAcentral. Lineage: Eukaryota; Metazoa; Chordata; Mammalia; Artiodactyla; Suidae.
AGCCAGUCUAUGUCUUUUGGUUGGGGUGUUUAGUCCAUCAACACUUAAGGUUUGAACAGGGAUGUGGCCACAGCAAGACAGUCAUCAUCAAACGAGCCCCUUUCUUUGUCACCUGGACUCCUCCUACCCAUGUCCUCCUGCAGCGGAGGUCUCUCAGAAUACUCCUGAGUACACAUGGAGGACCCACAACCAAAGCCCAGGACUGGGCGAGCGUCUCCCAGCCCAGCACAAGGUCCUCGUUCAGCUCCAGCUCCUCUGCUCAUUUGCACUGUCCCUCUCCUGCAAUGUCGCGAUCUGCACUGGAAGCCCACAGGUGACAGGGUUUGGUCCUCAGAGUAAGCAAAGCAAAGCACCAGCUCCCUGUGACCAUCUCAGUAGCUCUGGCUUCAGUUCUGUCUUUCUACCCAAGAUUCAUUCCUCUGGGGAACUUUUCCCUUCCUUUCUUCCAAGGAGCAGGAAGAAAGAGGACUUUUUACUUCCAUAUCUCUUUCCAUUUAAAAUAAAAGAGGAGUUCCCAUCGUGGCUCAGAGGAAACGAAUGUGAUUAGCAUCUAUGAGGUCACAGGUUCCAUCCCUGGCCUCCCUCAGUGGGUUAAGGAUUCGGCAUUGCCGGGAGCAGUAGUGUAGGUCACAGACACGGCUCGGAUCUGCCAUUGCUGUGGCUGUGAUGUCGGCCGGUGGCUGCAGCUCCAAUUCGACCCCCUAGCCUAGGAGCCUCCAUUUGCCACAGGAGCGGCCCUAGAAAGACACACAGAAAAAAGAAUGCAAUUAAAGAGAACCACUCAGAAGGAGAGGAAAUAUUUUGCACUUCUAGAACCAAGCAUGCAGAGAUGGUCGACCAUGGCAGCCAAAGUCACAAGUCUGGAAAAAUGUAUCAUUUUCAGCAAAAGCCAAAGGGAACUGAGGGUGUGUCAGAGAAACAAAUCUCAAAAUACUGAGCUUAUCCAAAGCAAACAAAUAGCAUUUGUCAGAGAGCUCACUUUCCACAUGAGUUAUAUCCCUUCCUAGUGGGUUUACACCCAAGCCCCCUCUUCUGUCCACACCACUUUCUAGAGAGUUACCGUGCUUUGCUUGUGCAGUACCCUGUAGGGCUGAGGGAGGGAGGGAGGGGGGACGUCCUCCUUUCCAGCUCAAGGACGGAGCGCACCCGGCAUCUCUCUCACCUGAGGCACCACUUCCACCUUCCAGCUGGUCUCCUCCCAUGUUUUCUUUACUGCAGGACUUCUCAGAGCCUUUAGUAUCUUGAUGAUCAUCCAAGAGAGAAAUACAUAAUAAUGGACACAUCCCAAACUUAUGCUGGAGGAAUCCUUUAUUCGAGGGGCAUCUACUAGCAUCUCUCUGGCCACUACAGUUCCAGAAACUCAGUUCAGCCUAUAGGAUUCAAUGCCAACUCCUCAACAGUCACUCAAGGCCUUCCAUCGUCUGGGGGUACACCUCCCAUUCCAGGCUCGUUCUCUGCCUCCCUCUUAUACUUUUCCUGUGAGUCCCUAAACAAGAUCAUCUCAUUUCAAGUUUCAGUGCCUUUGCAUAUGCUAUUCCACCAGCCUGAAAUGCUUUUCCCUACCCAUCCUCUGAGGUUGACCCUGCCAAUUCUGCGAAAUGUCCCCAGCUCCCCCAGGCUAAACACAGACAUACUGGCCUUGAUGUUCCCGCAGCUCUCUCGGCCCGCUCCCUGUUAGCAACCCGCCACCCUCGACUACAAAUGUGUUUACAACCUGCCGAUCCUUUGUUUUGCUUCUUGCUCUCUUCAGACCCAACUCCUCAGCCUCUCACCAGUUCUAUGAGACACCCAUUCCCCUUUAAUACUUUUCUUCUUUUUAAAAAAGGUAGUGAGAAUUAGGUUCUGUUGCUUACAAUCGGGAGUUCCCCUUGUGGCUUGGUGCAUUAAGAACCCAAUUAGUAUCCAUGAGGACGCAGGUUUGAUCCCUGGGCUUGGUCAGCAGGUGAAGGAUCCUGCAUGUCUCUACGCUGUGGCACAGGUGGCAGAUGCGGCUUGGAUCCCGCGUUGCUAUGGUUAUGGCAUGGGAAGAGCCAGCAGCUGCAGCUCUGAUGCAAUUCCUAGCCCAGGAACUUCCAUAUGCCACAGAUGUGGCCAUAAAAAUAGAAAAAAGGCAACCCUCCCCAAAUCUUAACCUCUCCACACCCAGGUAGAAGAAUUUUAAAACAUCUAUAGUCAAAGCAACACAUGUUGAAAAUGGCAAAAAAAAAAACAAAAAAAAAAAACAAAAAAAAAA